Long non-coding RNA from Globicephala melas (long-finned pilot whale), 1695 nucleotides. RefSeq lists it as uncharacterized. The record is from RefSeq and is a predicted model, not a curated record. Lineage: Eukaryota; Metazoa; Chordata; Mammalia; Artiodactyla; Delphinidae.
GAGGAGGCAGAGCGGAAGGAAAGGAGGAAGAGGGAAACCGGGGACGUCGGUCAUCUCCAGGCGCUGGUGUUCUGGGUCACAGUUUGGUAAGAAGAUCAAAGGGCACGAUCAACAGCUCGUGCACUGCCUUGGUGUGGACCCAGAGUUCAAGCACAGACGAAGAUCAGACACUGACUUCACACUUCUGAUAGUGUCUGGCUAGCACCGCGUCCAGGUAUACUCAGUCGCUGUAAUUGUUCAUCGUGAUGAUCAGGAGAGCUCUGCCGGUGCGAUUCAAAUAUCAACCUAUUUGGACCACCUCCACUGCGUCCACAGGCAGGUGGAGGGCAAUCCCCACCACCAGCUCUACCAGUGCAACCUCGACCCACAGGAGUUGCUCCUCCUCCUCCAACUCCGUUACCUCUACUAAGUGGUAUACCAUAUUCACCACCAUUACCUUUGUUUGGGGAUCUCCUGGUUUAACUUAUGAAGCAGAAAUAUAAACCUGACCUCCAUGAAAUGAUUCUUGAACUGCAUGACUUUGAUUCUCCAAGGAACAAGAAUCAAAUGGUCAAAGGCAAAAUUCUAACUAAAGGUUUCUGACAUCUAGUCACAGGUUGUCAUUAACAUGCAAAUAACUGCAUAGCUGUGUACAAGUAUGGUAUAAUUGUAGAGAAUAUGACUCUGGACUCUUUAGCUUUCCACUGUGAGCUCACCAUCUUAUGUUGCUCUUUCAGUACAGUGUCUCAAUGCAGUUAGCCCUCAGUAUCCAUGGGGGAUUGGUUCCAGGAAGCCUGUGGAUACCCAAAUCGGCAGAUACUCAUAUCCUUUACAAUUAGCCCUCUGUAUCCGCGAGUUCCAUAUCUGUGGAUGUGGAACCCACGGAUAUGGACAGCUGACUGCAAUUCUUGUCAAUUACUUAAAGUGUCAUGAUGAGGUUCCCUAUGGGACAGCUACCUGUCAUGAGGAUGAAUCCUCAAACACUUCUGCUAUAUUUUCAGUCCACCAAAGAAUGCCUUACAGCUGGAAGGAGCUGGUGUCCCUUCUCUUCAGAGCUAAAGCGAUUUCAGUCUCUCAAAACAGUUUGUUUAGACUUUAUGUAUGAAAAAAACUUUAACUUUAAGCAAAACUUAAAAUGUCACCCAAUCCAGUCACACCGAAGUUCCCCUUAAGCUUUCCCUAUCUAGGAAAUUCCUACAAGUUCCCUUUCACUUAGGAAAUGUACCAGUAUCCUCUUAAGACUCCAAGUUGGUCUUCAGGUGGAUGGAUAAAGAAAAUAUGACAUGUACAGAAAACUGAAUAUUAUUCACCCCUUAAAAGGAAGUAAGUCCUGUGACAUGGAAAACUAUGGAUAAAACUUGAGGACAAAAUGCAAGUGAAAUAAGCCACUCACAAACACAAAAACACUUGGGUUAAGUACUUAACGCAAGUAAAAAUACGCAGUGGUUAAGAAUCCGACUGCCAGUGCAGAGGACACGGGUUCAAUCCCUGGUCCGGGAAGAUCCCACAUGCCGCGGAGCACCUAAGCCCGUGUGCCACAACUACUGAGGCUGGGCUCUAGAGCCCGCGAACCACAACUACUGAGCCUGUGUGCUGCAACUACUUGAGGCCGCAUGCCUGGAGCCCGUGCUCCGCAAUAACAGAAACCACCACGAUGAGAAGCCUACGCACCGCAACGAAGAGCAGCCCCCGCUUGCCACGGCUACAGAAAGCCAG